Molecule: ribosomal RNA, 730 nt
Filed under: uncultured bacterium
Lineage: Bacteria
Description: bacterial SSU rRNA
Rfam family: Bacterial small subunit ribosomal RNA
Source: RNAcentral
AACAGGAUUAGAUACCCUGGUAGUCCACGCCGUAAACGAUGUCGACUAGCCGUUGGGUGCCUCGAGCACUUAGUGGCGCAGUUAACGCGAUAAGUCGACCGCCCGGGGAGUACGGCCGCAAGGUUAAAACUCAAAUGAAUUGACGGGGGCCCGCACAAGCGGUGGAGCAUGUGGUUUAAUUCGAUGCAACGCGAAGAACCUUACCUACCCUUGACAUCCUCGGAAUCCGCCGGAGACGGCGGAGUGCCUUCGGGAACCGAGUGACAGGUGCUGCAUGGCUGUCGUCAGCUCGUGUUGUGAAAUGUUGGGUUAAGUCCCGUAACGAGCGCAACCCCUGUCCCUAUUUGCCAGCGAUUCGGUCGGGAACUCUAGGGAGACUGCCGGUGACAAACCGGAGGAAGGUGGGGACGACGUCAAGUCAUCAUGGCCCUUACGGGUAGGGCUACACACGUGCUACAAUGGCAGGUACAAAGGGUUGCAAGACGGCGACGUGGAGCUAAUCCCAUAAAGCCUGCCUCAGUCCGGAUCGGAGUCUGCAACUCGACUCCGUGAAGUCGGAGUCGCUAGUAAUCGUGAAUCAGAAUGUCACGGUGAAUACGUUCCCGGGCCUUGUACACACCGCCCGUCACACCAUGGGAGUGGACUGCACCAGAAGUGGUUAGCUUAACCUUCGGGAGAGCGAUCACCACGGUGUGGUUCAUGACUGGGGUGAAGUCGUAACAAGGUAACC